RNAcentral lists this non-coding RNA (24 nucleotides) under Cricetulus griseus (Chinese hamster). The record is from RNAcentral. Lineage: Eukaryota; Metazoa; Chordata; Mammalia; Rodentia; Cricetidae.
CCACGGGACUCAGCAGUGAUAAAA